UAGGGAAUAUUGGACAAUGGGGGCAACCCUGAUCCAGCCAUGCCGCGUGAGUGAAGAAGGCCCUCGGGUUGUAAAGCUCUUUUGUCCGGAAAGAAAAGCUUCGGGUUAAUACCCCGGGGUUCUGACGGUACCGGAAGAAUAAGCACCGGCUAACUUCGUGCCAGCAGCCGCGGUAAUACGAAGGGUGCAAGCGUUAAUCGGAAUUACUGGGCGUAAAGCGUGCGCAGGCGGUUUUGUAAGACAGAUGUGAAAUCCCCGGGCUUAACCUGGGAACUGCGUUUGUGACUGCAAGGCUGGAGUACGGCAGAGGGUGGUGGAAUUCCACGUGUAGCAGUGAAAUGCGUAGAGAUGUGGAGGAACACCGAUGGCGAAGGCAGCCCCCUGGGCCUGUACUGACGCUCAUGCACGAAAGCGUGGGGAGCAAACA
Molecule: ribosomal RNA, 427 nt
Filed under: uncultured bacterium
Lineage: Bacteria
Description: bacterial SSU rRNA
Rfam family: Bacterial small subunit ribosomal RNA
Source: RNAcentral